This is a long non-coding RNA of Rhipicephalus microplus (southern cattle tick), 727 nucleotides long. The record is from RefSeq and is a predicted model, not a curated record. NCBI's taxonomy places the organism in Eukaryota, Metazoa, Arthropoda, Arachnida, Ixodida, Ixodidae.
UCAAUCAGGUCAACCAUGCGUUAGAUGAAGAUGGAUAAAUCGUGGCCUCAGAUGUUUUGCGCAACUCUACAGCGUGUUAACCCAUAAAUUUGCAGUUCCGCGAGGUUCUUCGAGGUUGCCGAGUGACAACGGGUGGUGGCUGCCUUGACGAAACAAGUGAUCUAGUAUUGUCCAGGGGCGUUCGCUGUUCAACGGUUUCUCACUGGUUUCUCUACAGUGGAAGCGGCGCUGCCGCAGCGAAUCACCAUGCAAGAGCGCGUCCCAUGAAAUGCUGCCGCCUUCAUGAACACUCGGAGGCAACCCUUUUCGGGAAGAAAACAGACUCCAUACCUGUGCCGGGAAAACACGGAAGAGCUGGCAGCCACGUACGCCCUUGCAUGCGCCGUCAGGAGACCUUCACCAACUUGGAAGAAACGAACCACCAGCAAAAGCAGCUGGAGGCCGUGUUGACACCUUUUUGAAGAAUGUUCGUGGAACCUCGUAGAAGACCGACGUCAUUGUGCAUCGCAUCGAUCUUGGCGAAACCCCACCUUGACUUUCGUCUUGCUACUGAGUACUCUUGCGACUUAACACCGCUCAAGCAGCUAAAGCAAGCCAUUCUCGUUAAAUCUCUGGACAAGAUUAUUGACAUGGAGACCAUGUGACCCCUGAAGUGUUCAUGGGCCUUCCGGGUCGUACUGAAUCCAAAAGAAGCUGGUGUGGCUGAUGAACAGUUGUGCAGUGCGAG